CACUCCUACGGGAGGCAGCAGUGGGGAAUAUUGCACAAUGGGCGCAAGCCUGAUGCAGCCAUGCCGCGUGUAUGAAGAAGGCCUUCGGGUUGUAAAGUACUUUCAGCGGGGAGGAAGGCGAUAAGGUUAAUAACCUUGUCGAUUGACGUUACCCGCAGAAGAAGCACCGGCUAACUCCGUGCCAGCAGCCGCGGUAAUACGGAGGGUGCAAGCGUUAAUCGGAAUUACUGGGCGUAAAGCGCACGCAGGCGGUCUGUCAAGUCGGAUGUGAAAUCCCCGGGCUCAACCUGGGAACUGCAUUCGAAACUGGCAGGCUAGAGUCUUGUAGAGGGGGGUAGAAUUCCAGGUGUAGCGGUGAAAUGCGUAGAGAUCUGGAGGAAUACCGGUGGCGAAGGCGGCCCCCUGGACAAAGACUGACGCUCAGGUGCGAAAGCGUGGGGAGCAAACAGGAUUAGAAACCCCAGUAGUCCCAU
RNAcentral lists this ribosomal RNA (473 nucleotides) under uncultured organism. RNAcentral's name for it is "partial 16S ribosomal RNA". It matches the Rfam family "Bacterial small subunit ribosomal RNA", at positions 334 to 798 of the family's 1533-position model. The record is from RNAcentral.